This 467-nucleotide ribosomal RNA is filed under the name uncultured bacterium. Its description in RNAcentral is "partial 16S ribosomal RNA". It matches the Rfam family "Bacterial small subunit ribosomal RNA", at positions 28 to 507 of the family's 1533-position model. The record is from RNAcentral.
GACGAACGCUGGCGGCGUGCUUAACACAUGCCAGUCGAACGGAAAGGCUCCUGCUUGCAGGGGUACUCGAGUGGCGAACGGGUGAGUAACACGUCGGUGAUCUGCCUUGUACUCUGGGAUAAGCUUGGGAAACUGGGUCUAAUACCGGAUAAUAACUGCCUUUAGUGUGGUGGUUGGAAAGUUUUUUCGGUGCAAGAUGAGCUCGCGGCCUAUCAGCUUGUUGGUGGGGUAAUGGCCUACCAAGGCGUCGACGGGUAGCCGGCCUGAGAGGGUGUACGGCCACAUUGGGACUGAGAUACGGCCCAGACUCCUACGGGAGGCAGCAGUGGGGAAUAUUGCACAAUGGGCGGAAGCCUGAUGCAGCGACGCCGCGUGGGGGAUGACGGCCUUCGGGUUGUAAACUCCUUUCGACAGGGACGAAGCUUUUUGUGACGGUACCUGUAUAAGAAGCACCGGCUAACUACGUG